This 253-nucleotide ribosomal RNA is filed under the name uncultured bacterium. Its description in RNAcentral is "partial 16S ribosomal RNA". It matches the Rfam family "Bacterial small subunit ribosomal RNA", at positions 524 to 776 of the family's 1533-position model. The record is from RNAcentral.
UACGUAGGUGGCGAGCGUUGUCCGGAAUUACUGGGUGUAAAGGGCGUGUAGGCGGGGCGGCAAGUCAGAUGUGAAAUUCCGGGGCUUAACCCCGGCGCUGCAUCUGAAGCUGUCGUUCUUGAGUGUCGGAGAGGAAAGUGGAAUUCCCAGUGUAGCGGUGAAAUGCGUAGAGAUUGGGAGGAACACCAGUGGCGAAGGCGGCUUUCUGGACGAUAACUGACGCUGAGGCGCGAAAGCGUGGGGAGCAAACAGG